Molecule: long non-coding RNA, 2104 nt
Filed under: Cyanistes caeruleus (blue tit)
Lineage: Eukaryota; Metazoa; Chordata; Aves; Passeriformes; Paridae
Description: lncRNA (ENSCCEG00000010191.1)
Source: RNAcentral
AGGAUGAGGUGGAGCGUGGAGGAUAGCAGUAUUGAUGAGGAUUAAACUAGCAAAUGGGAUGAGCUUGUGGAAUACCUAGUGCUAAGCCAAAGUGCUCUGCUUCUGAUACAUGUACCAAGUGAGACGAGGAGGCUGCAUGUGGCAUGGUUCAGUUCAUACUGGAUUGUUCAAUUGUUUUCAUAAAGACGGAGAGAAAUCGAAUCACCAACCAGAAUAUCAAGUAUUUUCCUUUUUUUUAAAAAAUGAAAUUUACAUAGGUUGAGGUAAUAUUUUACAAGUUUCUAUUUUUUUAAAAUUAUUUUUAGUUGUGGAGGCGUUGUAUUUUUUGGUUUUGUUGGCUGUUUUUGGUGUAUUUUUUGUUAAAGUUAAUAAACCCCACCUCCUGAAUUUGGAAAUUUCCCAAACUCUUAUCUGUUUUUAUCAGCCACGUCCAUGACAUGACAAUGGUGAUGUAAAGUGGACUCAUGGAACAGGGUGGGACCCACCAUGUGGAGCAUGGUGUGUCAAUCUGACAAGUGUAAGAGGCAUUGUUUCCUAUAAGCUGAUUUAUUUACUUCUUUUUUUUCUUUUUUUAAACUAUUUUUCAAAAACAACACCAAAAAUACCAGACCAACCAUAAAGGAGAGAAUUAAAAAGGAGGUUUUUGCCUGAAUGAAAACAAGCAGGAAAAUGUCCUUGAGAACAAGGUGCAUUGUUCUCCUGCCUUGAGAAGGCAAGAGAUACUUGGUCUGAAGCACUGUGGAGAGAAAGAGAUGUGGAGGAGCACACAUCUUGGUAGCUCCAUCCUCUUCCUCCCCACAGCAGUCCCCCAAAACCAAACAAAGUUGCCUCCCGCUCUGUCUGGCAUAAGAAUGAUGCAUGUGGGGACAAAACACAAAUCAGUGAGGUCUGCCUGAGUCAGGGGAGAGAUUCCCAACCCACAUAUAUUCCAGGCUUUGAAUGAACCUUCAGAAUACAGCUGCAGCCACCAUGGAAAUCUGGUAUCAGGAAGGGAAGAUUCUCAGAAUAUUAAAAACAAGUCAUGUAGAGAUCUCCCUGCCUUCCAUUCUCCACUCAAAAUUGAUGUUCAACCUUUCCAACAUCAGCUUUAAGUUGCUAGGAUGACAGCAGCAACAGGACCUGGAUACAGAACAAACAAAGGAAGGGCCUGCCAAAGCCACAGACGUGUGCUCCAGUUGUGGCGGUAAUAUAUGAGGUAUGUAAGAUGUCUUUUUAGGAAUGCUGGGUUCCUGGCCUCUGCAGGUUAAAUAUUCCCCUCUGCCUCACAUCAGCUGAAUUGAUGGUUUUGCCACCCAGCAGCCCCAGGAAGAUAAUAACUGUCAGUCACCAGCAAUCUGCACUGCAUUUACAGUAACAAAUAGGAUGCCAGUUUGGGGAGAAGAUGAUAUUUGUACAAAUAUGUGGUAAGUGACCACAUAUUGCUGCAGCAGUUGUAGCCCCUUUAUACAUAUAUGUAUGUCCAGACACAUAGGACGAGUGAGUGUUAAACACACACCAUUCAGAGCUGGGUCUGGGCUUUAACAAAAGCAUUGCAGCAAAGUAAUUUCUAUACCUGCAUUGAUGAAGAAUGCGUCAUGGAUGCGGAAUCCCUGCAAAGAAAUGCAUUAUGAGAUUUCUUUUUUGCUGGUUCAGCCCUAUUAAUCUGUUCAGCAUGAGCUCAAGUAUUUUAAUAACAGGCAUGGAAUAUUAUGCCUGCUCUGAAAUGGCUUGUUUUUAAGCACAACUUGGGCUGUGUUUGUGUUAACCUAGUUGGGGGAAAAAAAAAAACAGGUUUUAAGCUUAUCCUCCUUUUCUUUCCCUAAUCACAGCUACAGGGCAAAACAUACCAAGGCUCUAAUAGGAGAAGUAGCAUUAUCAUAUGCUAAUUUACAGUACUGUUAAGAAUACCACAAAGAACAAGCCUUUGACUAUAUGUACAAGUUGAAAUUCAUACUUGUGAAUAGACCUGUGGCAUGGCUGGUUGGCCUUUUGGGGACAGAAUUUGUGUUCCUGAGUAAACUGCAUUUCAGGAGUUGGGGCUGAUAUAAGAGUUCUUACUCGGAAAUAGGUUUUUGUUUUGUUUUUUUUUUUUGUUUUGGUUGGGGUUUUUUUUCUGGUUUUAAGU